UGCAAGUCGAACGGUGAACCAGGAGCUUGCUCUUGGGGAUCAGUGGCGAACGGGUGAGUAACACGUGAGCAACCUGCCCCUGACUCUGGGAUAAGCGCUGGAAACGGCGUCUAAUACUGGAUACGAACCACGAAGGCAUCUUCAGUGGUUGGAAAGAUUUUUUGGUUGGGGAUGGGCUCGCGGCCUAUCAGCUUGUUGGUGAGGUAAUGGCUCACCAAGGCGUCGACGGGUAGCCGGCCUGAGAGGGUGACCGGCCACACUGGGACUGAGACACGGCCCAGACUCCUACGGGAGGCAGCAGUGGGGAAUAUUGCACAAUGGGCGGAAGCCUGAUGCAGCAACGCCGCGUGAGGGAUGACGGCCUUCGGGUUGUAAACCUCUUUUAGCAGGGAAGAAGCGAAAGUGACGGUACCUGCAGAAAAAGCGCCGGCUAACUACGUGCCAGCAGCCGCGGUAAUACGUAGGGCGCAAGCGUUAUCCGGAAUUAUUGGGCGUAAAGAGCUCGUAGGCGGUUUGUCGCGUCUGCUGUGAAAUCCCGAGGCUCAACCUCGGGCCUGCAGUGGGUACGGGCAGACUAGAGUGCGGUAGGGGAGAUUGGAAUUCCUGGUGUAGCGGUGGAAUGCGCAGAUAUCAGGAGGAACACCGAUGGCGAAGGCAGAUCUCUGGGCCGUAACUGACGCUGAGGAGCGAAAGGGUGGGGAGCAAACAGGCUUAGAUACCCUGGUAGUCCACCCCGUAAACGUUGGGAACUAGUUGUGGGGUCCAUUCCACGGAUUCCGUGACGCAGCUAACGCAUUAAGUUCCCCGCCUGGGGAGUACGGCCGCAAGGCUAAAACUCAAAGGAAUUGACGGGGACCCGCACAAGCGGCGGAGCAUGCGGAUUAAUUCGAUGCAACGCGAAGAACCUUACCAAGGCUUGACAUAUACGAGAACGGGCCAGAAAUGGUCAACUCUUUGGACACUCGUAAACAGGUGG
RNAcentral lists this ribosomal RNA (976 nucleotides) under Microbacterium sp. Its description in RNAcentral is "bacterial SSU rRNA". It matches the Rfam family "Bacterial small subunit ribosomal RNA", at positions 56 to 1041 of the family's 1533-position model. Lineage: Bacteria; Bacillati; Actinomycetota; Actinomycetes; Micrococcales; Microbacteriaceae. The record is from RNAcentral.